Molecule: ribosomal RNA, 253 nt
Filed under: uncultured bacterium
Lineage: Bacteria
Description: partial 16S ribosomal RNA
Rfam family: Bacterial small subunit ribosomal RNA
Source: RNAcentral
UACGUAGGGGGCAAGCGUUGUCCGGAAUCAUUGGGCGUAAAGCGCGUGUAGGCGGCCCGAUAAGUCCGCUGUGAAAGUCCAAGGCUCAACCCUGGGAUGCCGGUGGAUACUGUCGGGCUCGAGUCCGGAAGAGGCGAGUGGAAUUCCUGGUGUAGCGGUGAAAUGCGCAGAUAUCAGGAGGAACACCAAUGGCGAAGGCAGCUCGCUGGGACGUGACUGACGCUGAGACGCGAAAGCGUGGGGAGCAAACAGG